UACGAAGGGGGCUAGCGUUGCUCGGAAUCACUGGGCGUAAAGCGCACGUAGGCGGCUUCUUAAGUCAGGGGUGAAAUCCUGGAGCUCAACUCCAGAACUGCCUCUGAUACUGAGGAGCUCGAGUCCGGGAGAGGUGAGUGGAACUCCGAGUGUAGAGGUGAAAUUCGUAGAUAUUCGGAAGAACACCAGUGGCGAAGGCGGCUCACUGGCCCGGUACUGACGCUGAGGUGCGAAAGCGUGGGGAGCAAACGGG
This 253-nucleotide ribosomal RNA is filed under the name uncultured bacterium. Its description in RNAcentral is "partial 16S ribosomal RNA". It matches the Rfam family "Bacterial small subunit ribosomal RNA", at positions 524 to 776 of the family's 1533-position model. The record is from RNAcentral.